CCCUUAGAUGUCCGGGGCCGCACGCGCGCUACACUGAAGGAAUCAGCGUGGCUUUCUCCCUGACUCGAAAGGGUUGGGAAACCCGUUGAAUCUCCUUCGUGAUAGGGAUUGGGGCUUGAAAUUGUUCCCCAUGAACGAGGAAUUCCCAGUAAGCGCGAGUCAUAAGCUCGCGUUGAUUACGUCCCUGCCCUUUGUACACACCGCCCGUCGCUCCUACUGAUUGAGUGUCUCGGUGAAUUCUUUGAUCUUCUGUCGAUUCAGUUCACUGAUCCGACGGUGGAAAGUUGAAUGAACUUCGUCACUUAGAGGAAGGAGAAGUCGUAACA
RNAcentral lists this ribosomal RNA (326 nucleotides) under uncultured eukaryote. RNAcentral describes it as "partial 18S ribosomal RNA". It matches the Rfam family "Eukaryotic small subunit ribosomal RNA", at positions 1470 to 1796 of the family's 1831-position model. The record is from RNAcentral.